CACCCCUUACGUGGGGCUGCGGCGGCCCCUGGGCUACCAGCUGGCCAAGGCUACCAAGGAGCGGAUCUGGCGGGGGGAGUUCAUUGACCUCUUCUCCUUGCUCCACACAGAGCUGGCCCCCGAGCACGGCCCGCGCCCGGGGGACACGCUGGACCAGUGGGUCUCUGCCUUUCUGGUGUACGCCAGCGUGCUGUGCGAGAAGCACCCAGCCCGCUGCGGGGCCAUGUUCAAGUAUCUGGACACCAUCCGCAAGCUGCAUGCCACGUAUGGGGGCACCUCGUGGAUGAGCUACGACGAGGACUUCCGGCGGCGGGCGGCCAAGGACCCGACCCUGCCUUGGGGCGACGUGGACCUGGACCUGUGGAUGAAGUGGAUGGCUCCCCUCAAGUCGCUUGUCAGCAGGCAUCAGCAUGCUGAGAGCGAGCCGCAGGCCCCCCCGCCGCCGCCACCUCCACAGCUGCCCCCGAGCCCCAAGCAGGAGGAGAAAAGCCAGACCCCAUGAAAACAGAAGGCCAGUUGGAAGGGCAGUCAGACUAAGUGGAAUUCUGUUCUUCAGUAGUCCAAGCUGUGUCUCUUCACCGUCGUUGCUACAGAUUAAUCAUCACAGGCAUCUCCUGAGGAAAUUCUGUAAUAGUGACAGGAUGGGGGGGAGGCGAGGGGAAGGAAGGGAUGAGUAGGCAUUGGUCUCUUCAGUCCCAGUGAUGAGUUGCACAGUGCAGGGCUUAACCUACUGUCUCCCAGCUGCAAAGUGGCAACAGUUUCGGGUUUCCUGUCCUAUUGGGGAGUAGUAUACCCAGCUGGAGUCUGAAACGCUUCCUAAUGUUCUUUGCUGAGUCCUGCCAAGAAUUUGUUGGAUUUGUUUGUUACUCUCUAGUCUUCAUACAGUCUGGUGCCUUUCCUGGCACUCUGUCACCUCUCAGUUUCCCUGUGGCUGCUGAUGUUAGACUGGACCACCCUGUCUUCUUUGUCUGCUGUAGACAAUUGCCAGGGUUCUGCUUUGCUCUCCAGUGUCAUUGGCUGCUUUAAAACGGCUGCCUGCUUUCAUAAAGAAACUCGCUUUUCAAACUAUUAGUGGUGUUUUUGAGAAAUGUGGGGCUUCCUCUCUUGCUCUUUUUUUCUUUUUCUUUUUUUUUUUUUUUCCCCUCCUUCACAAACUUGGCCUUUGUCACUGUCUUUGAGCCACCCAGUCACUGUGGUACUUGUGCUUCCCUGCUUUGGUAGCACGUGUACUUUCCCACUCACUGUUGUGCUAUAAGCUUCUGCAUGAAAUUUCUUUGGCUCUUAAUUUAUAGUUAAAAGUGUUCAACUUCAAUGGGUUUCUUCUCUUUCAAACAGUUAGUUACUGGGUGGAUUUGCAUAUGUCAAUGUCAUUGGAUGAAUCUUGCCCUUGCAGCUACUGAAGUUGCCAUGUCCUUGUUGCAUAGACCUGCUGGUUGUGUUGAAAGAGUGGUGCGGAAUUGCAUAUCCUCUGUGCAUCGUUGAUUUAUGAGUAGAUUCAUUUUGGUGGUUAUAAGCUAAGCUUGCUGUCACAUACAUACUAUGACAGACAGAAGGAAGGUGCGAGCUAUCUGAAAGCAGACAUUGAGGAUAACCAUUUAACUGUGAUGAGUGAAGAUAUACCACACUAGGUGAGAGGCUUACAGUGGAAAUGAACCAUGAUUCUUUUAUUCGUACAAUAACUGUGAUCUGUAGUGGAAAUCAUUGAUCUACUUUUUUUUUUUUAAUCCUGAUUAUUUCUGUAAGUUGUAGGAUGUUCUAUCUUCAGUGUUAUUGCAAUUUCAUAUUGUUUUCUGAAAAAUAAAAAAUGUUGAGCAUCUAUACUAAGUUGCA
RNAcentral lists this long non-coding RNA (1830 nucleotides) under Dromaius novaehollandiae (emu). Its description in RNAcentral is "lncRNA (ENSDNVG00000002677.1)". The record is from RNAcentral. Lineage: Eukaryota; Metazoa; Chordata; Aves; Casuariiformes; Dromaiidae.